CCUACGGGAGGCAGCAGUGGGGAAUAUUGCGCAAUGGGCGAAAGCCUGACGCAGCGACACCGCGUGCGGGAUGAAGGCCUUCGGGUUGUAAACCGCUUUCGGCAGGGACGAAGCGAAAGUGACGGUACCUGCAGAAGAAGGUCCGGCUAACUACGUGCCAGCAGCCGCGGUAAGACGUAGGGACCGAGCGUUGUCCGGAUUCAUUGGGCGUAAAGCGCGCGCAGGCGGCUACGCAGGUCGGGUGUGAAAACCAGAGGCUCAACCUCUGGCCUGCACCCGAAACCGCGUGGCUAGAGGCAGGUAGGGGAGAUCGGAAUUCCUGGUGUAGCGGUGAAAUGCGCAGAUAUCAGGAGGAACACCGGUGGCGAAGGCGGAUCUCUGGGCCUGUCCUGACGCUGAGGUGCGAAAGCUAGGGGAGCAAACAGGAUUAGAUACCCUGGUAGUCCUAGCCGUAAACGUUGGAUGCUAGGUGUGGGCGGAUAUUGACCCCGUCCGUGCCGGAGCUAACGCAUUAAGCAUCCCCGCCUGGGGAGUACGGCCGCAAGGCUAAAAACUCAAAGGGAAUUG
RNAcentral lists this ribosomal RNA (567 nucleotides) under uncultured bacterium. RNAcentral's name for it is "bacterial SSU rRNA". It matches the Rfam family "Bacterial small subunit ribosomal RNA", at positions 338 to 912 of the family's 1533-position model. The record is from RNAcentral.